Molecule: ribosomal RNA, 402 nt
Filed under: uncultured bacterium
Lineage: Bacteria
Description: bacterial SSU rRNA
Rfam family: Bacterial small subunit ribosomal RNA
Source: RNAcentral
UGGGGAAUAUUGGACAAUGGGCGCAAGCCUGAUCCAGCCAUGCCGCGUGGAUGAUGAAGGCCCUAGGGUUGUAAAGUCCUUUUAACGGGGAAGAUAAUGACGGUACCCGUAGAAUAAGCCCCGGCUAACUUCGUGCCAGCAGCCGCGGUAAUACGAAGGGGGCUAGCGUUGCUCGGAAUUACUGGGCGUAAAGAGCACGUAGGCGGACCGAUAAGUCGGGGGUGAAAUCCUGGAGUUCAACUCCAGAACUGCCUUCGAAACUGCCUGUCUUGAGUUCGGGAGAGGUCAGUGGAACUGCGAGUGUAGAGGUGAAAUUCGUAGAUAUUCGCAAGAACACCAGUGGCGAAGGCGGCUCACUGGCCCGAUACUGACGCUGAGGUGCGAAAGCGUGGGGAGCAAACA